UACGUAGGGUGCAAGCGUUACUCGGAAUUACUGGGCGUAAAGCGUGCGCAGGCGGUUGUGUAAGGCAGAUGUGAAAUCCCCGGGCUCAACCUGGGAACUGCAUUUGUGACUGCACGGCUGGAGUGCGGCAGAGGGGGAUGGAAUUCCGCGUGUAGCAGUGAAAUGCGUAGAUAUGCGGAGGAACACCGAUGGCGAAGGCAAUCCCCUGGGCCUGCACUGACGCUCAUGCACGAAAGCGUGGGGAGCAAACAGG
This 253-nucleotide ribosomal RNA is filed under the name uncultured bacterium. RNAcentral's name for it is "partial 16S ribosomal RNA". It matches the Rfam family "Bacterial small subunit ribosomal RNA", at positions 524 to 776 of the family's 1533-position model. The record is from RNAcentral.